Molecule: ribosomal RNA, 253 nt
Filed under: uncultured bacterium
Lineage: Bacteria
Description: partial 16S ribosomal RNA
Rfam family: Bacterial small subunit ribosomal RNA
Source: RNAcentral
GACGUAGGAGGCGAGCGUUGUCCGGAUUCAUUGGGCGUAAAGAGCACGCAGGCGGUUCGAGAAGUCGGAUGUGAAAACUCGGAGCUCAACUCCGAGCGUGCAUCCGAAACUCUCGGACUAGAGGUAGGUAGGGGAGAUCGGAAUUCCUGGUGUAGCGGUGAAAUGCGUAGAUAUUGGGAGGAACACCAGAUGCGAAGGCGGGUCACUGGGCUGAUACUGACGCUGAAGUGCGAAAGCCAGGGGAGCGAACGGG